GACGAACGCUGGCGGCGUGCCUAACACAUGCAAGUCGAGCGGAGUCGAUCGACGGAAGCCUUCGGGCGGAAGAUGGUUGACUUAGCGGCGGAUGGGUGAGUAACGCGUGGGCAACCUGCCUCGAAGACCGGGAUAACAGCCCGAAAGGGCUGCUAAUACCGGAUGUGGUCAAGGAUCCGCAUGGAUUUUUGAUUAAAGGGGAAACCCGUUUCGAGAUGGGCCCGCGUCCUAUCAGCUAGUUGGUGAGGUAAAAGCUCACCAAGGCGACGACGGGUAGCCGGCCUGAGAGGGUGACCGGCCACACUGGAACUGAGACACGGUCCAGACUCCUACGGGGGGCAGCAGUGGGGAAUCUUCCACAAUGGGCGAAAGCCUGAUGGAGCGACGCCGCGUGAGCGAAGAAGGCCUUCGGUUGUAAGCUCUGUCUGGAGGGACGAAGGAAGUGACGGUACCUCCGGAGGAAGCCACGGCUAACUACGUG
Molecule: ribosomal RNA, 481 nt
Filed under: uncultured bacterium
Lineage: Bacteria
Description: bacterial SSU rRNA
Rfam family: Bacterial small subunit ribosomal RNA
Source: RNAcentral